This is a long non-coding RNA of Thalassophryne amazonica, 198 nucleotides long. RefSeq lists it as uncharacterized. The record is from RefSeq and is a predicted model, not a curated record. The transcript is spliced from 3 exons. NCBI's taxonomy places the organism in Eukaryota, Metazoa, Chordata, Actinopteri, Batrachoidiformes, Batrachoididae.
UUUAAUCAACAGAAUACUAAUAAUAGUUGACAUUAUUCUAAGAAAAAUCUUAGAAUUUCUCAAAUUCUUAGACAUUUCUUAGAAUUUUCCCUGAGUAAGAUGAAAGUUCUCCGCAAAGUACCUUAGGCCUUAAGAGAGCACCUAAGGUGCCAAACUGGUAAGAGUAGGGAGGAGGACUUUUAAGAAGCAUAAGAGUGU